Long non-coding RNA from Mesocricetus auratus (golden hamster), 276 nucleotides. RefSeq lists it as uncharacterized. Lineage: Eukaryota; Metazoa; Chordata; Mammalia; Rodentia; Cricetidae. The transcript is spliced from 3 exons. The record is from RefSeq and is a predicted model, not a curated record.
UUAAGCAAACCAAGUUCUUGCUUGCCACACCAGCUGCCGUCAGCUCUCACCACCCCAGCUGCUGUGCCAGUGCGUACUCUAUCAAGAUGAUUUGUGCCCUCUGAACGGAAAGGACAGGUCUCCUAUGGAUGUCAACAAAGCAUGGCAUAUCAAGUUGAGGAUUCCUGGAGCUCCGCCCAGUGCUUGGCUGUUGGUCUCUGCAUCUGCACAGAACCCCACUUUUAAAAUGAGCCUAUACAGCAGAACAGGAAAAAGGAUGAAAAGAAAUGCACAAAG